This 301-nucleotide ribosomal RNA is filed under the name uncultured bacterium. RNAcentral describes it as "partial 16S ribosomal RNA". It matches the Rfam family "Bacterial small subunit ribosomal RNA", at positions 509 to 807 of the family's 1533-position model. The record is from RNAcentral.
CAGCCGCCGCGGGAAUACGAAGGGUGCAAGCGUUACUCGGAAUUACUGGGCGUAAAGCGUGCGUAGGUGGUGGUUUAAGUCCGUUGUGAAAGCCCUGGGCUCAACCUGGGAAUUGCAGUGGAUACUGGGUCACUAGAGUGUGGUAGAGGAUAGUAGAAUUUCCGGUGUAGCAGUGAAAUGCGUAGAGAUCGGAAGGAACAUCUGUGGCGAAGGCGACUAUCUGGGCCAACACUGACACUGAGGCACGUAAGCGUGGGGAGCAAACAGGAUUAGAUACCCCCGUAGUCCCUGUCUCUUAUAC